GUGGGGAAUAUUGCACAAUGGGCGCAAGCCUGAUGCAGCGACGCCGCGUGCGGGAUGACGGCCUUCGGGUUGUAAACCGCUUUCAGCAGGGAAGAAGCCUUGAGUUUUCUUGGGGUGACGGUACCUGCAGAAGAAGCGCCGGCUAACUACGUGCCAGCAGCCGCGGUAAUACGUAGGGCGCGAGCGUUAUCCGGAAUUAUUGGGCGUAAAGAGCUCGUAGGCGGUUUGCCGCGUCUGCUGUGAAAGCCCGGAGCUCAACUCCGGGUGUGCAGUGGGUACGGGUAGACUGGAGUGCAGUAGGGGAGACUGGAAUUCCUGGUGUAGCGGUGAAAUGCGCAGAUAUCAGGAGGAACACCGAUGGCGAAGGCAGGUCUCUGGGCUGUUACUGACGCUGAGGAGCGAAAGCAUGGGGAGCGAACAGGAUUAGAUACCCGUGUAGUCC
This 442-nucleotide ribosomal RNA is filed under the name uncultured Nesterenkonia sp. RNAcentral's name for it is "bacterial SSU rRNA". It matches the Rfam family "Bacterial small subunit ribosomal RNA", at positions 354 to 796 of the family's 1533-position model. The record is from RNAcentral. Lineage: Bacteria; Bacillati; Actinomycetota; Actinomycetes; Micrococcales; Micrococcaceae.